RNAcentral lists this ribosomal RNA (442 nucleotides) under uncultured bacterium. RNAcentral's name for it is "bacterial SSU rRNA". It matches the Rfam family "Bacterial small subunit ribosomal RNA", at positions 360 to 793 of the family's 1533-position model. The record is from RNAcentral.
AAUAUUGCACAAUGGGCGCAAGCCUGAUGCAGCCAUGCCGCGUGUAUGAAGUAAGGCCUUCGGGUUGUAAAGUACUUUCAGCAGUGAGGAAGGUGGGUAUGUUAAUAGCAUAUUCAUUUGACGUUAGCUGCAGAAGAAGCACCGGCUAACUCCGUGCCAGCAGCCGCGGUAAUACGGAGGGUGCGAGCGUUAAUCGGUAAUUACUGGGCGUAAAGCGCAUGCAGGUGGUUUGUUAAGUCAGAUGUGAAAGCCCGGGGCUCAACCUCGGAAUUGCAUUUGAAACUGGCAAACUAGAGUACUGUAGAGGGGGUAGAAUUUCAGGUGUAGCGGUGAAAUGCGUAGAGAUCUGAAGGAAUACCGGUGGCGAAGGCGGCCCCCUGGACAGAUACUGACACUCAGAUGCGAAAGCGUGGGGAGCAAACAGGAUUAGAUACCCUGGUAG